This 672-nucleotide ribosomal RNA is filed under the name Citrobacter braakii. RNAcentral's name for it is "bacterial SSU rRNA". It matches the Rfam family "Bacterial small subunit ribosomal RNA", at positions 86 to 754 of the family's 1533-position model. The record is from RNAcentral. Lineage: Bacteria; Pseudomonadati; Pseudomonadota; Gammaproteobacteria; Enterobacterales; Enterobacteriaceae.
GGGUGACGAGUGGCGGACGGGUGAGUAAUGUCUGGGAAACUGCCCGAUGGAGGGGGAUAACUACUGGAAACGGUAGCUAAUACCGCAUAACGUCGCAGGACCAAAGAGGGGGACCUUCGGGCCUCUUGCCAUCGGAUGUGCCCAGAUGGGAUUAGCUAGUAGGUGGGGUAACGGCUCACCUAGGCGACGAUCCCUAGCUGGUCUGAGAGGAUGACCAGCCACACUGGAACUGAGACACGGUCCAAACUCCUACGGGAGGCAGCAGUGGGGAAUAUUGCACAAUGGGCGCAAGCCUGAUGCAGCCAUGCCGCGUGUAUGAAGAAGGCCUUCGGGUUGUAAAGUACUUUCAGCGAGGAGGAAGGUGUUGUGGUUAAUAACCGCAGCAAUUGACGUUACUCGCAGAAGAAGCACCGGCUAACUCCGUGCCAGCAGCCGCGGUAAUACGGAGGGUGCAAGCGUUAAUCGGAAUUACUGGGCGUAAAGCGCACGCAGGCGGUCUGUCAAGUCGGAUGUGAAAUCCCCGGGCUCAACCUGGGAACUGCAUCCGAAACUGGCAGGCUAGAGUCUUGUAGAGGGGGGUAGAAUUCCAGGUGUAGCGGUGAAAUGCGUAGAGAUCUGGAGGAAUACCGGUGGCGAAGGCGGCCCCCUGGACAAAGACUGACGCUCAGGUGC